Molecule: non-coding RNA, 22 nt
Filed under: Arabidopsis thaliana (thale cress)
Lineage: Eukaryota; Viridiplantae; Streptophyta; Magnoliopsida; Brassicales; Brassicaceae
Source: RNAcentral
CUUCCACCAACCUACCAAAUUC